GGAUGUGAGGGCGAUCUGGCUGCGGAUCCGUCGCCCCAUUGAUCCCCAGGGUUGAUUCGACUGAUCUGGCUGGCUAGGCCUCCCUCACAGCUCCCUCACAGCUCUAUGUGGAUGUACCUCCAGAAGCUGCGCACUCGGUCGAAGAGGUCGGCCUUCCCCGAAUAUAGACGAACCGGUCUUUGGUCCAGGGUAUACAAGUAGUUGUGCUCCCCUGCUAGAACCUCCAAACAAGCUCUCAAGGUCCUCCUGUACUGCUUGUGGUAAUGUACAUUGGUCCCAACCCUGUGGAGAACAGUCUAGAGUACUCUCAGAA
Erinaceus europaeus (western European hedgehog) is the source of this 313-nucleotide unclassified non-coding RNA. Its record names the gene 7SK. It matches the Rfam family "7SK RNA". Rfam says of the family: 7SK was discovered as an abundant small nuclear RNA in the mid-70s but a possible function has only recently been suggested. Two independent studies have found that 7SK RNA binds the CDK9/cyclin T complex (known as elongation factor P-TEFb). Lineage: Eukaryota; Metazoa; Chordata; Mammalia; Eulipotyphla; Erinaceidae. The record is from Ensembl.